Long non-coding RNA from Sardina pilchardus (European sardine), 1005 nucleotides. RefSeq lists it as uncharacterized. The record is from RefSeq and is a predicted model, not a curated record. Lineage: Eukaryota; Metazoa; Chordata; Actinopteri; Clupeiformes; Clupeidae. The transcript has 5 exons.
UGGACGCCUCUCCCUAUCCUGUGGUCAUACAAAGCAUCUGAGAUUUUCCUCGUAUCUAUCUUUUCACCAGUAUGACUCUGCAUUAGCUAUUUGUCCAGAGAGAAAGUAGGUGAAUGUUGAUUAUUUGUUUGGUACCUAUUCCCCCAAGAGGGAUGCCAGUGUCCUGAUGCUGACCAGGAGCACCGGUUCCGCCACUUGCUUCCCGCUGGAGUCUUAGCACCAACUGGAUGAGGGGACUCCUCUCCGUUUUGAAUUCCUGGCUCUCCAUGGCUUUGAAGUAAUAUGAUGUGGGGUCCUCAAAUGCUGCCAGAACUUGAAGUGGGCUCCGUCAACUGUCCAGGGCAAGGUCGGUCUGUCCGGAUGGCACUACUUGAGGUUGUCUGGUAGCCAUAGCUGCUGCCCUCAACAUGGUACACUUGACAUUUACUGCCAAAGCUACCAUCAGAGCACCUCUCCCUACCCUGCAGGACAUCUAUACCCGAAGAGUGCAACAAGGGCCCAGAAUAUUUCAAGAGACAUUUCACACCCUGACCAUGGACUGUUUAAACCACUGUGGCCAAGCAUACAUCUCUGUUUCCACAUGGCUAAAACAGACUGAGGAGGAGUUUCUUUCCUCAAGCCAUCCGCAUCCCGAACACACAUAACUCUUUAAACUACAUUACAUAGACUUGCUAUACUGCACUUACAGUACACACACUGCACUUUGUACACCCUGGAUCAUUCUGUGUCAAAUCAGUAUCUCAGGUUUUGCUAAAAUAAUGUCUAUAUACAGUAGAAUGGUUCCCAAAACCAAGGCCUGUGAAAUAUUUCUGUUCAAAUCCUAUAUCUUCAUAUUAUUACGGCAGGCUCGUUUUCUGCAAGGUCCUAGAUUUGGGAUAAGUGCAUAAAUCAGUAACAUUAAGGGUAUGAAUGUCUUUUUGUACAUAUUUACAUAUUAUGUGUUAUUAAUGCCAAUAUUUUCAAUAUGUAAUGUGCUUGAAGAUGUUAAAGGUUAAGCAAGGGAAG